Molecule: ribosomal RNA, 119 nt
Filed under: Helianthus annuus (common sunflower)
Lineage: Eukaryota; Viridiplantae; Streptophyta; Magnoliopsida; Asterales; Asteraceae
Source: RNAcentral
GGUUGCGAUCAUACCAGCACUAAUGCACCGGAUCUCAUCAGAACUCCGCAGUUAAGCGUGCUUGGGCGAGAGUAGUACUAGGAUGGGUGACCCCCUCGGAAGUCCUCGUGUUGCAACCC